Long non-coding RNA from Homo sapiens (human), 647 nucleotides. RefSeq lists it as uncharacterized. NCBI's taxonomy places the organism in Eukaryota, Metazoa, Chordata, Mammalia, Primates, Hominidae. The record is from RefSeq and is a predicted model, not a curated record. The transcript has 3 exons.
AUAACACUCCCUUGAAGUACUGGAGUAUAAUCAAACAACUUGGCUCCUGCUGAAACCCGCUCCCACCUGUUUCGGUCCUGAAGGGGACAUUUGGAUACAGACACAGGCAUGAACAGAGGAGAGACCAUGUGAAGAGUCACAGGGAGAAUGCCAUGUGAAGACAGAGGAAUGGAAUUAUCCAUCCACAUGCAAUAAAAUGCCAAAGAUUGCCAGGAAGUCACCAGAAGCUUGGAACAGUCUGAGACUGGUUCUCACUUUGCUGAGCUGUCUGGAGUGCAGUGGUGUUGAUCACAGCUCACUGCCACCUCAAAUUCCUGGGCUUAAGGGAUUCUCCUACCUCAGCAUUUUUCAAGAAUACAGUAUAUCCUCAUUAACUAUACUCACUAUGCUGUACAACAGAUCUUUGAAAGUUAUUCUUCCCAUUUACAAUAAUACUAUGUAUUUUGAUUAAUAUCUUACCAACCUACCCUUACCCAUCUGCCCCAGCCUCUGGUAAUUGCCAUUCUACUCCAUUUCUGAGAUAACUUUAUUAGAUUCUACAGAUGAAUGAGAUUAUGUGGUGUUUGUCUGUUUCUGACUUAUUUUAGUUAGCAGAAUGUCCUCCAGGUUCAUCCAUUUGUCAAAAAUGAAAAGAUUUCCUUCUUUUC